This 916-nucleotide ribosomal RNA is filed under the name Exorista ladelli. RNAcentral describes it as "partial 16S rRNA". The record is from RNAcentral. Lineage: Eukaryota; Metazoa; Arthropoda; Insecta; Diptera; Tachinidae.
UAAAAUUAUUUUAAAUAAUAUAUUAGAAAUGAAAUGUUAUUCGUUUUUAAAGGUAUCUAGUUCUUUAAGAAAUAAAUUUAAUUUAGAAAUUUUAUAUUAUUUAAUUUAUUAUAUUAAUUAAAUAAAUAUUUAAUUUUAAUAUUUUAUGGGAUAAGCUAUAAAAUAAAAUUUUAAAAAUUAUUAAUUAAAUUUAAUAAAUAUAAACUUAUAAAUAGUUAUUAUUAGUAAAAAUGUUAUAAUUUAUUUUUUUUAUUAUAUUAUUUAUUUAUAUUUUAAAAAUUUUAUUAAAGUAUUUAUUUUAAUUUUGAAAAUAAAAUAAUAAUGAUAAAAUUAGUAUAUAAUAUUGUAUAAAUAAAUUUAAAUGAUAAGUUUUUAUAAAGAAUUCGGCAAAAAUAAUGUUCGCCUGUUUAACAAAAACAUGUCUUUUUGAAUUUUUUUUAAAGUCUGACCUGCCCACUGAAAUAAAUUUAAAUGGCCGCAGUAUUUUGACUGUGCAAAGGUAGCAUAAUCAUUAGUCUUUUAAUUGAAGGCUGGAAUGAAUGGUUGGACGAAAUAUUAACUGUUUCAUAAAAAUUUUUAUUAGAAUUUUAUUUUUUAGUUAAAAAGCUAAAAUUUAUUUAAAAGACGAGAAGACCCUAUAAAUCUUUAUAUUUAAAUUAUAAUUAUUUUUUAGAAUUAUUUUGUUAUUAUAAUUAAUAAUAUUUUAUUGGGGUGAUAUUAAAAUUUAAUAAACUUUUAAUUUUAUUUAUUCAUUAAUUUAUGAAUGAUUGAUCCGUUAUUAACGAUUAAAAAAAUAAGUUACUUUAGGGAUAACAGCGUAAUUUUUUUGGAGAGUUCAUAUCGAUAAAAAAGAUUGCGACCUCGAUGUUGGAUUAAGAUAUAAUUUUAGGUGUAGUAGCUUAAAUUUUAAGUCUGU